RNAcentral lists this ribosomal RNA (329 nucleotides) under uncultured eukaryote. RNAcentral's name for it is "partial 18S ribosomal RNA". It matches the Rfam family "Eukaryotic small subunit ribosomal RNA", at positions 1470 to 1796 of the family's 1831-position model. The record is from RNAcentral.
CCCUUAGAUGUUCUGGGCUGCACGCGCGCUACACUGAUGCGUUCAACGAGUUUAUGGCCUUGCCCGAUAGGGUUGGGUAAUCUUUUUAAAUCGCAUCGUGAUGGGGAUAGAUUAUUGCAAUUAUUAAUCUUCAACGAGGAAUGCCUAGUAAGCGCAAGUCGUCAGCUUGCGUUGAUUACGUCCCUGCCCUUUGUACACACCGCCCGUCGCUCCUACCGAUUGAAUGGUCCGGUGAAGCGUUCGGACCGUGGCCUUUGGACGGUUCGCCGUCUGUUGGCUGCGGGAAGUUCGUUAAACCUUAUCAUUUAGAGGAAGGAGAAGUCGUANCA